RNAcentral lists this signal recognition particle RNA (299 nucleotides) under Aotus nancymaae (Ma's night monkey). RNAcentral's name for it is "Metazoan signal recognition particle RNA (ENSANAG00000010121.1)". It matches the Rfam family "Metazoan signal recognition particle RNA". Rfam says of the family: The signal recognition particle (SRP) is a universally conserved ribonucleoprotein. It is involved in the co-translational targeting of proteins to membranes. The eukaryotic SRP consists of a 300-nucleotide 7S RNA and six proteins: SRPs 72, 68, 54, 19, 14, and 9. The record is from RNAcentral. Lineage: Eukaryota; Metazoa; Chordata; Mammalia; Primates; Aotidae.
GCCGGGCGUCAUGGCACGUGCCUGUAGUCCCAGCUACUCAGGAGCCUGAGGUGGGAGGAUCGCUUGAGCCCAGGAGUUCUGAGCUGUAGUGCAUUAUGCCAAUCGAGUGUCCACACUAAGUUCAGCAUCAAUAUGGUGACCUCCUGGGAGUAGGGGACCACCAGGUUGACUAAGGAAGGGUAAACCAGCCCAGGUCGGAAACGGAGCAGGUCAAAACUCCUGUGCUGAUCAGUAGUGGGAUCACGCCUGUCAACAGCCAUUGCACUCCAGCCUGGGCAACAUAGCAAGACCCCGUUUCU